GCAGUCGAGCGAGCUGAAUUCAAAGAUUCCUUCGGGAUGAUUUGUUGGACGCUAGCGGCGGAUGGGUGAGUAACACGUGGGCAAUCUGCCCUAAAGACUGGGAUACCACUUGGAAACAGGUGCUAAUACCGGAUAACAACAUGAAUCGCAUGAUUCAAGUUUGAAAGGCGGCGCAAGCUGUCACUUUAGGAUGAGCCCGCGGCGCAUUAGCUAGUUGGUGGGGUAAAGGCCUACCAAGGCAAUGAUGCGUAGCCGAGUUGAGAGACUGAUCGGCCACAUUGGGACUGAGACACGGCCCAAACUCCUACGGGAGGCAGCAGUAGGGAAUCUUCCACAAUGGACGCAAGUCUGAUGGAGCAACGCCGCGUGAGUGAAGAAGGUCUUCGGAUCGUAAAGCUCUGUUGUUGGUGAAGAAGGAUAGAGGCAGUAACUGGUCUUUAUUUGACGGUAAUCAACCAGAAAGUCACGGCUAACUACGUGCCAGCAGCCGCGGUAAUACGUAGGUGGCAAGCGUUGUCCGGAUUUAUUGGGCGUAAAGCGAGCGCAGGCGGAAUGAUAAGUCUGAUGUGAAAGCCCACGGCUCAACCGUGGAACUGCAUCGGAAACUGUCAUUCUUGAGUGCAGAAGAGGAGAGUGGAACUCCAUGUGUAGCGGUGGAAUGCG
This 663-nucleotide ribosomal RNA is filed under the name Lactobacillus delbrueckii subsp. lactis. Its description in RNAcentral is "bacterial SSU rRNA". It matches the Rfam family "Bacterial small subunit ribosomal RNA", at positions 57 to 690 of the family's 1533-position model. The record is from RNAcentral. Lineage: Bacteria; Bacillati; Bacillota; Bacilli; Lactobacillales; Lactobacillaceae.